RNAcentral lists this ribosomal RNA (118 nucleotides) under Clostridium sp. MCC345. The record is from RNAcentral. Lineage: Bacteria; Bacillati; Bacillota; Clostridia; Eubacteriales; Clostridiaceae.
UCCGGUGACGAUGCGCCUAGGGGACACACCCGUUCCCGUUCCGAACACGACGGUUAAGACCUAGGCGGUCGAUGGUACUUGGUGGGCAGCUGCCUGGGAGAGUAGAUGGUCGCCGGAA